RNAcentral lists this ribosomal RNA (228 nucleotides) under uncultured bacterium. Its description in RNAcentral is "partial 16S ribosomal RNA". It matches the Rfam family "Bacterial small subunit ribosomal RNA", at positions 28 to 257 of the family's 1533-position model. The record is from RNAcentral.
GACGAACGCUGGCGGCGUGCUUAACACAUGCAAGUCGAGCGGUAAGGCCCUUUCGGGGUACGACGAGCGGCGAACGGGUGAGUAACACGUGGGUGACCUGCCCUCAGCUCUGGGAUAAGCCUGGGAAACCGGGUCUAAUACUGGAUAUGACUCCAUGACGCAUGUUGUGGGGUGGAAAGCCUUGUGCGGCUGAGGAUGGGCCCGCGGCCUAUCAGCUUGUUGGUGGGG